UUUUGACCUCAAAUCAGAUAGACUACCCGCUGAACUUAA
RNAcentral lists this ribosomal RNA (39 nucleotides) under Lyophyllum decastes. RNAcentral's name for it is "partial 25S rRNA". Lineage: Eukaryota; Fungi; Basidiomycota; Agaricomycetes; Agaricales; Lyophyllaceae. The record is from RNAcentral.